GAUGAACGCUGGCGGCGUGCCUAAUACAUGCAAGUCGAGCGAACAGAUAAGGAGCUUGCUCCUUUGACGUUGGCGGCGGACGGGUGAGUAACACGUGGGUAACCUACCUAUAAGACUGGAAUAACUCCGGGAAACCGGGGCUAAUGCCGGAUAACAUUUAGAACCGCAUGGUUCUAAAGUGAAAGAUGGUUUUGCUAUCACUUAUAGAUGGACCCGCGCCGUAUUAGCUAGUUGGUAAGGUAACGGCUUACCAAGGCAACGAUACGUAGCCGACCUGAGAGGGUGAUCGGCCACACUGGAACUGAGACACGGUCCAGACUCCUACGGGAGGCAGCAGUAGGGAAUCUUCCGCAAAGGGCGAAAGCCUGACGGAGCAACGCCGCGUGAGUGAUGAAGGUCUUCGGAUCGUAAAACUCUGUUAUUAGGGAAGAACAAAUGUGUAAGUAACUGUGCACGUCUUGACGGUACCUAAUCAGAAAGCCACGGCUAACUACGUG
Molecule: ribosomal RNA, 497 nt
Filed under: uncultured bacterium
Lineage: Bacteria
Description: partial 16S ribosomal RNA
Rfam family: Bacterial small subunit ribosomal RNA
Source: RNAcentral